AAGAUUAAACUUCCAGGGAUAAUUUCUAUAGUUUGUAACUAGUAGAAUGGGCUUGAAAGUGUCUAAACUCAAUAACCACAAGCAAGAGCUUCAGGGUUUUUUUUUUGCUGAGCAUGAGAUGAGUUCCUGCUCUUCUUCUGUAUUUAAGCUGUUGGUUACUUUUAAUGUUUGUUCCAGGCUCCUUAAAUGGGGCUUAUAACAUAAUAAUUAUGAG
This is a small nucleolar RNA of Pelobates fuscus (common spadefoot toad), 214 nucleotides long. RefSeq annotates it as small nucleolar RNA U3. The record is from RefSeq and is a predicted model, not a curated record. The transcript has a single exon. NCBI's taxonomy places the organism in Eukaryota, Metazoa, Chordata, Amphibia, Anura, Pelobatidae.